CCUACGGGAGGCAGCAGUGGGGAAUUUUGGACAAUGGGCGCAAGCCUGAUCCAGCAAUGCCGCGUGAGUGAAGAAGGCCUUCGGGUUGUAAAGCUCUUUUGUCAGGGAAGAAACGGCUCCAGCUAAUAUCUGGGGCUAAUGACGGUACCUGAAGAAUAAGCACCGGCUAACUACGUGCCAGCAGCCGCGGUAAUACGUAGGGUGCAAGCGUUAAUCGGAAUUACUGGGCGUAAAGCGUGCGCAGGCGGUUUUGUAAGUCUGUCGUGAAAGCCCCGGGCUCAACCUGGGAAUUGCGAUGGAGACUGCAAGGCUUGAAUCUGGCAGAGGGGGGUAGAAUUCCACGUGUAGCAGUGAAAUGCGUAGAGAUGUGGAGGAACACCGAUGGCGAAGGCAGCCCCCUGGGUCAAGAUUGACGCUCAUGCACGAAAGCGUGGGGAGCAAACAGGAUUAGAUACCCUGGUAGUCCACGCCCUAAACGAUGUCUACUAGUUGUCGGGUUUUAAUUAACUUGGUAACGCAGCUAACGCGUGAAGUAGACCGCCUGGGGAUACGGUCGCAAGAUUAAAACUCAAAUGAAUUGACCGGNUGAGAGNGCGAGACGACGACGAGGGAGGAGG
Molecule: ribosomal RNA, 617 nt
Filed under: uncultured bacterium
Lineage: Bacteria
Description: bacterial SSU rRNA
Rfam family: Bacterial small subunit ribosomal RNA
Source: RNAcentral